This 253-nucleotide ribosomal RNA is filed under the name uncultured bacterium. RNAcentral describes it as "partial 16S ribosomal RNA". It matches the Rfam family "Bacterial small subunit ribosomal RNA", at positions 524 to 776 of the family's 1533-position model. The record is from RNAcentral.
UACGUAUGGUGCAGGCGUUAUCCGGAUUUACUGGGUGUAAAGGGAGCGCAGGCGGCACGGCAAGCCUGAUGUGAAAGCCCGCGGCCCAACCGCGGGACUGCAUUGGGAACUACCGGGCUGGAGUGCCGGAGAGGUAGGCGGAAUUCCUAGUGUAGCGGUGUAAUGCGUAGAUAUUAGGAGGAACACCAGUGGCGAAGGCGGCCUACUGGACGGUGACUGACGCUGAGGCUCGAAAGCGUGGGGAGCAAACAGG